GCAGUAGUGGUUCAGUGGUAGAAUUGCCUUCCAUGUGGGAGACUUGGGUUCGAUUCCCAGCCAGUGCA
Molecule: transfer RNA, 68 nt
Filed under: Loxodonta africana (African savanna elephant)
Lineage: Eukaryota; Metazoa; Chordata; Mammalia; Proboscidea; Elephantidae
Rfam family: tRNA
About the family: Transfer RNA (tRNA) molecules are approximately 80 nucleotides in length. Their secondary structure includes four short double-helical elements and three loops (D, anti-codon, and T loops).
Source: Rfam by way of RNAcentral